This 584-nucleotide ribosomal RNA is filed under the name fungal endophyte. RNAcentral describes it as "eukaryotic LSU rRNA". The stretch from base 209 to 362 matches the Rfam family "5.8S ribosomal RNA". Lineage: Eukaryota; Fungi. The record is from RNAcentral.
GGAAUAGUCUCGUUGGUGACCAGCGGAGGGACAUUGCUGGAACGCGCCCCAGGCGCACCCAGAAACCCUUUGUGAACUUAUACCUUUUGUUGCCUCGGCGCAUGCUGGCCCCUACGGGGUCCCCUGGAGACAGGGAGCAGGCACGCCGGCGGCCAAGUUAACUCUUGUUUUUACACUGAAACUCUGAGAAAAAACACAAAUGAAUCAAAACUUUCAACAACGGAUCUCUUGGUUCUGGCAUCGAUGAAGAACGCAGCGAAAUGCGAUAAGUAAUGUGAAUUGCAGAAUUCAGUGAAUCAUCGAAUCUUUGAACGCACAUUGCGCCCUCUGGUAUUCCGGAGGGCAUGCCUGUUCGAGCGUCAUUUCAACCCUCAAGCAUUGCUUGGUGUUGGGGCACUGCUUUUUAACGAAGCAGGCCCUGAAAUCUAGUGGCGAGCUCGCCAGGACCCCGAGCGUAGUAGUUAAACCCUCGCUCUGGAAGGCCCUGGCGGUGCCCUGCCGUUAAACCCCCAACUUCUGAAAAUUUGACCUCGGAUCAGGUAGGAAUACCCGCUGAACUUAAGCAUAUCAAAAGGCCGGAGGAA